Non-coding RNA from Hippocampus zosterae (dwarf seahorse), 73 nucleotides. NCBI's taxonomy places the organism in Eukaryota, Metazoa, Chordata, Actinopteri, Syngnathiformes, Syngnathidae. The record is from the annotation of a RefSeq genome assembly.
UCCGCAUUAGUCCAGUUGGUUAGGACGCCAGGCUCUCAUCCUGGUAACCCGGGUUCGAAUCCCGGAUGCGGAG